This is a long non-coding RNA of Trachemys scripta elegans, 1178 nucleotides long. RefSeq lists it as uncharacterized. The transcript is spliced from 3 exons. NCBI's taxonomy places the organism in Eukaryota, Metazoa, Chordata, Testudines, Emydidae. The record is from RefSeq and is a predicted model, not a curated record.
CACAACCUUCAGGUCUUUUGUUUAGGUUUUAUUAAUUAUUGGACGUCUAUGGCGGACGAAGAUUAUUGAAGUAACCGUGCAGGAGCAAUCGUUCUGCAAUUCAUCACCAAGCCUUUAAUUGUCAAUUUCACUUUGACCCAGUCAUGUAACAUUUCACUUGAAAUAACUUUCUGUUUAACAUUAAUUUACAACCUCCCCACUAGGGUGGCGGGGUUUGUUUUUUUUUUCCAAUUGGCCUUUUUGUUUUCUGGUUUAAGCUGCUGCGCCGUUUUACAAUUACACUAGGAAAACUAGGUCAGGAAAGCAUGUCUAAACUAUGAAUGUUCUAGCUCGAAGUUCAGCACAUGAAGAGUUAAUGUAGUUUCCUCCACUGGAGUCAGUGAGACUGGGACACACCUCCUGGAUGUAUUAACUUGUUCAGGGUGGCAAAAGUUCAGGCUUGUAAAGUCACGAUUGGCUCUCAGCAGAAAUGUGCCUCGCCCCUUAAAUACUGAUUGGUUGGGCUAGUGAACUAGAGCAACCUACUUUAUAUCACAGAUUGUCACUGAAUGAAAGAAAUUCCGUUAUCGUCAUUGGUCCUCAGCGGUAUUUAUGCAUCAUGCACCUUAUGGUGGUACUGUACAAGGUCAAAUCCUCUAAGGCCUAUAAGGACCAUAAGUGGCCCCAAAGACAGGGGAAUGAAUCAGACUGUUUCUCCUGCCCAGAGAGAGCCAGGAUGCAGAUGCAUUAUGCGGGGAGAUGGGAGACAGAGCACAGACCUGCAGAGGCCGCCACACCAGCAUAAGGGGAAACUGAGUAGUCGCUGGAGGGGUGAACUCCGAUCAAGCCCCAUAGGCCAGGGUGCUGUAUUUACAUGUGGUAAGAGUCGAGACAGUCCCUGCCUCAGAGAGUUUACAGCCUCAAUGGACAAGAGAGACAAAGGCUAGGAGAAAAGAAGAAUUAUCAUCCCCCUUUGACAUAUGAGGAAUUGAGUCACAGCCAGCUUCAGUGACUUGUAGAGUUGGUUUGAGAAAUUUCCACAGAAUCCUAUUCCUUCAGAAGAUGCGAUUCCUUUGAAAUCAAAGUCUUGCGAAAUCGGGUUGCUUUUGCCUGAAUUUUGUUUAGGAAGAAAACCAGAGGGGGAAAAAAGUUCUGACCUUGCUGAAACAUCCUGGUUUGACAUUUUCUGACUGGAACAU